RNAcentral lists this ribosomal RNA (1135 nucleotides) under Escherichia coli. Its description in RNAcentral is "partial 23S ribosomal RNA". It matches the Rfam family "Bacterial large subunit ribosomal RNA", at positions 609 to 1746 of the family's 2925-position model. Lineage: Bacteria; Pseudomonadati; Pseudomonadota; Gammaproteobacteria; Enterobacterales; Enterobacteriaceae. The record is from RNAcentral.
UGUAUAAUGGGUCAGCGACUUAUAUUCUGUAGCAAGGUUAACCGAAUAGGGGAGCCGAAGGGAAACCGAGUCUUAACUGGGCGUUAAGUUGCAGGGUAUAGACCCGAAACCCGGUGAUCUAGCCAUGGGCAGGUUGAAGGUUGGGUAACACUAACUGGAGGACCGAACCGACUAAUGUUGAAAAAUUAGCGGAUGACUUGUGGCUGGGGGUGAAAGGCCAAUCAAACCGGGAGAUAGCUGGUUCUCCCCGAAAGCUAUUUAGGUAGCGCCUCGUGAAUUCAUCUCCGGGGGUAGAGCACUGUUUCGGCAAGGGGGUCAUCCCGACUUACCAACCCGAUGCAAACUGCGAAUACCGGAGAAUGUUAUCACGGGAGACACACGGCGGGUGCUAACGUCCGUCGUGAAGAGGGAAACAACCCAGACCGCCAGCUAAGGUCCCAAAGUCAUGGUUAAGUGGGAAACGAUGUGGGAAGGCCCAGACAGCCAGGAUGUUGGCUUAGAAGCAGCCAUCAUUUAAAGAAAGCGUAAUAGCUCACUGGUCGAGUCGGCCUGCGCGGAAGAUGUAACGGGGCUAAACCAUGCACCGAAGCUGCGGCAGCGACGCUGAUGCGUUGUUGGGUAGGGGAGCGUUCUGUAAGCCUGUGAAGGUGUGCUGUGAGGCAUGCUGGAGGUAUCAGAAGUGCGAAUGCUGACAUAAGUAACGAUAAAGCGGGUGAAAAGCCCGCUCGCCGGAAGACCAAGGGUUCCUGUCCAACGUUAAUCGGGGCAGGGUGAGUCGACCCCUAAGGCGAGGCCGAAAGGCGUAGUCGAUGGGAAACAGGUUAAUAUUCCUGUACUUGGUGUUACUGCGAAGGGGGGACGGAGAAGGCUAUGUUGGCCGGGCGACGGUUGUCCCGGUUUAAGCGUGUAGGCUGGUUUUCCAGGCAAAUCCGGAAAAUCAAGGCUGAGGCGUGAUGACGAGGCACUACGGUGCUGAAGCAACAAAUGCCCUGCUUCCAGGAAAAGCCUCUAAGCAUCAGGUAACAUCAAAUCGUACCCCAAACCGACACAGGUGGUCAGGUAGAGAAUACCAAGGCGCUUGAGAGAACUCGGGUGAAGGAACUAGGCAAAAUGGUGCCGUAACUUCGGGAGAAGG